This 1225-nucleotide ribosomal RNA is filed under the name metagenome. RNAcentral describes it as "bacterial LSU rRNA". It matches the Rfam family "Bacterial large subunit ribosomal RNA", at positions 1564 to 2800 of the family's 2925-position model. The record is from RNAcentral.
UGAAUACGAGACGCUAAGGCGUCGAAGUAGUGUAUGUCAUACUUCCAAGAAAAGCUUGCACUGUCAUAGAUAAAAAACGCCUGUACCAUAACCGACACAGGUGGGUAGGUAGAGUAUACUAAGGGGCGCGAGAUAACUCUCUCUAAGGAACUCGGCAAAAUAACUCCGUAACUUCGGGAGAAGGAGUGCCUUAUUAUUAAGGCUGCAAUAACAAGAUCCAAGCAACUGUUUAUCAAAAACACAGGUCUCCGCUAAGUCGUAAGACGAUGUAUGGGGGCUGACGCCUGCCCAGUGCCAGAAGGUUAAAGAAGUUGGUUAGCAUUUGCGAAGCUGAUAACAGAAGCCCUGGUGAACGGCGGCCGUAACUAUAACGGUCCUAAGGUAGCGAAAUUCCUUGUCGGGUAAGUUCCGACCCGCACGAAAGGCGUAAUGAUUUGGAUACUGUCUCGGAGAGGGGCUCGGUGAAAUAGACUUGUCUGUGAAGAUGCGGACUACCUGCACCAGGACAGAAAGACCCUAUGAAGCUUUACUGUAACUUGAAAUUGAAAUUGGACUUUAUUCGCGCAGCAUAGGUGGGAGGCGUUGAUUAUAAUCUUGUGGGAUUAUUGGAGCCAUCAGUGAGAUACCACUCUUGUAAUGUUAGAUUUCUAACUUUGAAUCAUUAUCUGGUCAAAGAACAGUUUCAGGCGGGCAGUUUGACUGGGGCGGUCGCCUCCUAAACGGUAACGGAGGCGUACAAAGGUUUCCUCUGAACGGUUAGAAAUCGUAUCUAGAGUGUAAAGGCAUAAGGAAGCUUGACUGUGAGACCUACAAGUCGAGCAGGGACGAAAGUCGGUCUUAGUGAUCUGACGGUACUGAGUGGAAAGGCCGUCACUCAACGGAUAAAAGUUACUCUAGGAUAACAGGCUGAUCUCCCCCAAGAGUUCACAUCGACGGGGAGGUUUGGCACCUGAUGUCGGCUCAUCGCAUCCUGGGGCGGUAGUACGUCCCAAGGGUUGGGCUGUUCGCCCAUGAAAGCGGUACGCGAGCUGGGUUCAGAACGUCGUGAGACAGUUCGGUCCAUAUCCGGUGUAGGCGUUAGAAUAUUGAGAGGAGCCUUCUUUAGUACGAGAGGACCGAGAAGGACAUACCUCUGGCGUACCAGUUAUCGUGCCAACGGUAAACGCUGGGUAGCUAUGUAUGGAGUGGAUAACCGCUGAAAGCAUCUAAGUGGGAAGCCCACCUC